This is a small nuclear RNA of Suncus etruscus (white-toothed pygmy shrew), 104 nucleotides long. The record is from RefSeq and is a predicted model, not a curated record. NCBI's taxonomy places the organism in Eukaryota, Metazoa, Chordata, Mammalia, Eulipotyphla, Soricidae.
GCUCGCUUCGGCAGCACAUACUAAAAUUGGAACGAUACAGAGAAGAUUAGCAUCACCCCUGCACAAGGAAAAAUCUCUUCAUGUUUCCCAGUCCAGAUAUAUAU